NNNGGUGGCGCGAAGGGCGCCCAGCCGCGGGAGCUGGCGAGGAGCAGGGGGUGGGCCCAGCCCUGCCCGAAGACCGCGCCCGCCAGCCUCAGUUUCCCCGUCCGCCCAGUGAGAGGCUGGAAUGAGAUGAAGGUCCCCCAUCCUGACAUUGCAGGAGUGAGCCACAAAGGAAAAGAAGUCCAUCUCCACCUGCCCGCUGUGCCUCUGUGUUCUCCAGGAGGGGGCUGUGACGCGAAGCCGAACCUUCUUGAAAAUACGGAGGAGAAGACGGUGUGACGUGCUCUGGAGAAGCCGUAGGAUGAAGCAGAAAAUUCACAGAAAAGCCUCAGAUAACAAGGAGUUGCCCCAUAGAUGCUUCUCCCAAGGCCUCAUAACGCCAAGGUGCGUGGACAACUAGAAGUUGCCCUUGGCACAGGCUGUAUGUGGGUUUCUCUGAGGAUCGGACCCGGAGGCCAUGUGUGUUCUGUGGUUGUCUCCUCCCAUCUGUGACAGUGUGUCCACCUGUUCCUGUUCCUCGGGAGCCAGGACAGCUGGAGAAGCACUGGCGAGGUAGCUUCCAGAACCUUCUGCAGUCUGGCAUUGCCCAGUGUUUUCUCGUGGGCCCCUGUUGUCCUCGAGGUGUCCACGUGUCUCCCAGGCAGUCACAGCGCACACCACCUUGGGGACACAGAGGCAGUGGCUGCGCUGGGAGCAGGCCCCCCAUGAGGAAUGGCUUUCUGUCCCCUCCCAUGUAUUCUCACGUGACACAACCCACCCUUUUGCUUUUCGAGCAACUUCCUUACUUUCUGGCAAAACAGCAUGCGCAAAAGCUGUCACCCCAACUCUCCAGCUCAUAACUUGGUCUCUUGGUGAGUCAUUAUUAAGCACCUCCCGCAUACCCACUGUGUCAUGGCAUCAGGAAUAAAGUCAGUGUUCAU
RNAcentral lists this long non-coding RNA (917 nucleotides) under Mustela putorius furo (domestic ferret). Its description in RNAcentral is "lncRNA (ENSMPUG00000024675.1)". The record is from RNAcentral. Lineage: Eukaryota; Metazoa; Chordata; Mammalia; Carnivora; Mustelidae.